GUCGACCUUCAUUCAAUCCACAGUAAUAUAACAUCAUUCUAAUAUAAAAAUCAUAUUUAACUGUAUUUUUUAUAAAGCAUGUAUAGCUACCUGGACUUCAUUCAGCUUGAUUGGCUCAAGAUAUUGCUUAAAAAACUGUCCCAAACUAGAGCCCUGUAAAAAUCGAAGUACUUCUAAAAGGGCAUGGAAAAUACUCAUAUACUAGGAUUUGAAAGUUGAGAUAAGAUCUACUUCAUGUUGCUUUAUAGUGCCUUUGUACCGACAAGAACUGUUCGAAUAUAUACGAAGCAUAUCACCCAACACAAAAGUAUUUAAGUUUUUACUGGACUAUAAAAAUAUUAUUAAAAUUUGAGGUUCACAGCACACGUUCCUGUGAAGUUCCUACACAUAUAAUCAUGUAAUGCAAAAGAUCAAUCUUAAAAGUACAACAAAAAACUUACAUGUUCUCCAAAAUUAUAUGUUCUGCAUACUUCGGGUCGGAUAAAUUGUCGUCCUUUGUGAUUCUCUUUUAAUCUCAACCAAUCGUCCCAGAUAUGCCUUCGGCCAUUUUGGUGAUAGUUCAUCCCAUGUAGAUCUAGCCAGCAUCCAUCCUAGUCCAGGAAAGAAGUCCGAGCGAUAAAGUUCAUCUGCAGAAUAGAUCAUUAAAAUUUAAAUUUAUCAGAAUAGCAUUGGCGAUCAACACAUUGUAAUAUUUAGGGGGAUACAAAUAUAUUUUUUUAAUACAUUUACCUUGAGACUACAUAGGUUGCGUUGAAAAUAUUAAACACAUUUGCAUUGAAAUUGAUGUAAAUAGGGUUAUUGACAGAAAGUGAUAAUAAACAUUUCUCAAACUGUUUCUGUAUUAUACAUAGCCGAUCUUAACCUGCACACACUGAAGGUAACUGACACCAACAUCUGAGUUGGUUACAGUUGUAGCUUCCCAUGCAAACUAAUAUUACAAGCUGAAGCUUCUCUCACAAGCUAACUUAACAGUUGGCACAAACACUGACCAACUGAACUGAACACAAUCAGUUUAACUAACUAUAACACAUAUUUUCAUAUACCCCACCCCCACCACAAGAUCUGCUUGUUUGUUGUUUCCUGCUGCGGCUGGUUGCUCAAAGUUGCAGAGGCGGCUUGUUAUGUUGAAGGAGAAAACUAGGUUCUUACAAACCGUGUUACGUUCCUCGUGUUUGCAAUGCUGA
Molecule: long non-coding RNA, 1184 nt
Filed under: Medicago truncatula (barrel medic)
Lineage: Eukaryota; Viridiplantae; Streptophyta; Magnoliopsida; Fabales; Fabaceae
Description: lncRNA gene20101
Source: RNAcentral